GGGUGUCGGACGGUGGGCAGGGCCUCCUGGGAUCCCUGAGGCGCCGGCAGGAGGAGACGCCCUGGGGUCGGUGCCUCCCCCUUCCCGUCCGGGCGGUUACAGCUUUCCCGUGUUCGCUGUCGGAGGCAGGGACCGGCGACCUCGGGGGCCUGGUCCCUGAGCCACAGCGGGGAGUCGUCCGAGCAUCUCGGGAUGAGGAAGAUCAAGUUGAAUCAAAAAAGAGGAAAGAAAGCCCAUCGCGUGUGACAGACAAGAAAGUGCUACCGUUAAAAGGCAAACAGUUCUAGAGUGUGCAAACAUUUGCAGUCCCUCUGCUGAUGAUCCUGGGUUUGGUUUGGCUGGGCUUGAGCAAAUGAGAAGGAACCAGGACGGUGCUCCAGCUUUCUGGGGAUCCUCCUCCAGCAUCGCCAAAGCCUGGACCGGGCGCAUCCACUUAACUCACGGGGCAGGCUCCCAGUUUUUGAAGGAUCUUCACACCGCCUCCAGCAGCAGCCGCCUUAUAGACACUGCUUAGCCCGGUCCUGCACUUGCUCAGGUCCGGUCUCUGUAACAGAACACACGCGCAUCUCGUGAUGGUGCUUCUCUGAUGGAGCCUUAGCCGAUGCGCAGAAGUAGACAACUGUGUUGGGGCGGAGGAGGUGCCCUGAACUCCAGCUCAGCCCUCCUCCUCCCAAGCCCUUCCAUCCUGGGAUCAACAGGAGCCUGUGACUGACUACAGCAGGAGAGCAGGCGUGGCAUGGAUCCCGUGCAAGCCGGCAGUGGAGACCCAGCGCCUGAGAGUGACGUGGGGAACUAGCAGGAGCUAGAAGUGACUUAGGACGAGCUUUUGUAAAGCGGAGGUGUGAGUGUAAUAUCAGGAUGAUUUGACUGCAAGCAACAGAGAAUCAAACAGAAAUGGCCUAGGGAGUCCCUUUGUGGCUCCCCAGUUAACAAUCUGACUGGAUCAUGAGGAUGCAGGUUCAAUCCCUGGCCUCUAUCAGUGGGCGAAGGAUCUAGUGCUACCAUGAGCUGUGCUGUGGUGUAGGCUGGCGGCCGCAGCUCCAGUUGGACCGCUAGCCCGGGAACUUCCAUAUGCUGUGGGUGCAGCCCUAAAAAGCAAAAACAAACAAAAAAAUGAAACAAAACAAAACAAAAAAUCCACAAAAAAAAAUCAGAAAUGGCCUAAACAAAGAAGAAAACGUGUUAUCCCAUACUACAAGAAGUUUGGGGGUUGAGUGGUUAAACGCAUGAUUAGUUUAGAAACUUGACAGCACCACCCAGGACCCAUUUUCCCUAAGGCGCUGCUGCCCCCCACCCUGUAGGCUUAGCCACCGAAGCAAAGACACCCCCCUUCCCCAACCAGAGCCCUGCGUCAGGACUGGAAGGGGCCUCCUUCCCUCCAUCCCCUUCCAGAACCUCGGCAGAAGACUCCCCUUGACGUCUCAUUCCAUCCCAUACUGGUCACUUUGCAGGGGAACGGAUUUACCAUGGUGGCCAGAGACAAUUAAGUCGCCCCCAUCUCUGGAGAACACUUGACCACUCAGUACCCAGCAACUCGGGUACCCCUGGCAAGAAAGAGACAGGUGAUACCCACUGGGUCCUGUCCACAGCGCCUGCCCCCAGCAACCUGUCUACCUGGAAAACUGAGGGGGUGCCACGCGGGUCUGUGUCUUCUCUGUAGUUUGCCCGAGUCUUUCCCAUUAGGUAAGUGUCGCCCUUUUCCCUCUUUGCGGCUUUCCUCCUUGGCACGUCACCCAGGUUUUGUUCAGCCACAAGGGGCGAUAGGCUGAAAGAGGAAUCUCCAGGCCUGGGUGAUGGGCCAGCCGUGGUGAUCCUCACCCGUUUGCCUGGGCACCGUUUGGGAAACGUCCCCCUGCUCACCACGGAGAUGAAAGACCAGGUCCCUGGAGGGGCUUCGCGGAAGGAUUUUUCACCCCAGUAAAGCGGAAGACAAGCCAGGGGUGUCCUGCCCUACGCGCCGUCUGCCUCUGAGCCGCCGCCAGCUCACACCCUUGAGCAGAAACGUUGCAGGGAGGCAGAAAGCGCUGAGUCUCAUGGAUCGUGCUGAGCGUUGCAUCCACCCAGGACUGCUUACCUUCAGACUUCUGCUCCGGUGGCAGAGCAGCAAACCCCUAUUGUCUUCAAGAGGCAGAAGACAUGGCCCUUGGGCUGCCUGAGAUGCACUGUUUCAUAGGAGGCCCCGUCACUGAAGCUGGGACUACCUCCGCCACCAAAGGCUCCCCAUGGAAAACUGAAUUAGAAAUUAUCUUGACCCCCCAUGGACAUCAAAGAAAAAUUCCCGAUUGAAACUGCGUUCUGAGUAAAGGAAAAAAAUGGCUCUUAUCCUAGACACUGUUGAUCCCCACUGACCUUCAGCGGCCCACCUGCUUCUCGGUCUUUGUUUCUGUCUCCAUGUCCUCUAAGGGCCUAACCCUCUCUCUCCAUGCUCAGUGCUGUUCUUGGGAUGCAACCAAUUCCUUCACUGAUGAGAUGAAAAACUGAAGGCGUGUCUGUAACACUUCUUUUCCCAGACACCCCACACCCAGUCUCCACUCUGGAUUUUGCCACAUCCCCACUCUCCUUCCAAACGAUAACACCUGUUCUUUCCCCGAUCGAACGCUGCGGGCCCCUCUUUCCUUCCGUCUCUGUCAAGGCGGGAGGAGCAGGGCCUUUUCCUUGGAAGCCCUCCGCUGUCUGUUCCCUCUGGAAGGACUAGCAGCCUCCAUCCUGGUCCGCGUGUAGCUGUCUCUAGGGAUGAAAAUGGUUUUCAGAGUCAGAGGCAUGUUUGAGUCUCUGCUAUUCUGUAGGCACAUUGCCUACAUUCUCUUAACCCAUUUGGCGGGUGUGGAAAUGAAAGCCUGGAGAGAUUAAGUGAUUUACCACUGGUUCCAUAAAUGACAGGGCUGGGAUCAGAGCUGGGGUCUGUCUGGCCCCAGGGAUCAUGGUCUAAACCUGCCUGAAUCCCUUAAUUUGAUUCUUAAUCUCUUAAUCCUUAAUCAUACCUUCUUCAGGAUAGCCAGAUAAGAUAAGAGACACAAGAUAGUUGUGUCUCUUACUCAGGCAUCCACCCCACUCUGUGUGUAUUUUUAUUUUAGCGUGAGCCGCAAUGUACUGAAAUUAAUAUCUCCCAAUCAGAUCGCUAUGCCUCUGGGGCCCAGGGCAGUGCCUGGUGUACAGACUGAUGCAGUAUUUCUUCUGCGGCUGUUUAUUUGCCCAUCGUGGCUACUCAGGCCCUUCCUUAGUCCCACUGAUGGAGAAACUGGGAUGGAAACUAAUCAGUGCAGUACUGGACAAGCAAAGGUAGCAUCGGGUUGGGAUUUGGGGGCAGUUAGGCAGUUACAGACUGUUUAGACCCUAAAAUCUGCCUGAUUGAUCCUAGUCUGAGACACUAGGUCUCGUUUGAAUCUCCAAGCCUAGGGAAGCACCUUAUCUCCAUGAACAUAGCCCUAGAACACCAAUUCACAAAUGGAUUGAAAGGUGGGUGCCCCGGACUGAAUGUUUCCUGUGCCCACCUCCCCAAGUUCUUAUGUUGAAUUCCUACGGCCCAAUGUGAUGACAUUAGUAUGUGUGGCCUCUGGAGGUGCUGAGGUCGCGAGGGUGCAGCCCAUGUGAAUGGGGUUAGUGCCUUUUCAGGAGACCCCAUAGACCUUAUCGAGAGACUCCCUUGCCUCUUCCACCUAGUGAACUCGGGGGCGGGGGGCGGAGGCGGGGAGAGACACACACUGUGAACCAGGAAGAGGGCCCUCACCCGCCCGUACCCACGCCUUGAUCUUGGACCCCUCUGGAACCGUGAGAAAGAAAUGCCUGUGGUUAGUAAGCUGCCCGGUCAGCGGCAUUUCGUCACAGCAGCCGGAAUCGACAGUCAGCAAGAAUGCAGUUUAAUCUUUGUCCGCCUCAAUGCGAUAAAUUUAGAAGCUGACUUUUGUUUGUUUUGAAACAUGUAAAGUAAAGCUUGGGACAUUACUGAAUCCAGAUUAAGUAGAAAAUCAAAAUACAUUCUGCCAAAAUCCCAACUCCACUAGAACCUUUUUCUCAAAUCCAUAGAGGUACAUGUUUAUGGAAAUGGUUAAUAAGUGCUUAUGAUGAAAAUGCCACGUCCUAUCUCAGUCCUACUACUUGCUUUCAAUCCUCUUAUUAUUUGUUCUGGUAUAUGUUUCUAAAUAUAUCAUUAUCCUGCUAUG
This 4160-nucleotide long non-coding RNA is filed under the name Sus scrofa (pig). RNAcentral describes it as "lncRNA (ENSSSCG00005018671.1)". The record is from RNAcentral. Lineage: Eukaryota; Metazoa; Chordata; Mammalia; Artiodactyla; Suidae.